GACGAACGCUGGCGGCGUGCUUAAUACAUGCAAGUCAACUGAACUGUUUGUAGCAAUACGAACAGGGAGGUGGCGCACGGGUGAGUAACACGUAGGUAAUCUGCCUUUAGGUCUGACAUAACCCGGUAACGAGCUAAUAUCAGAUGAUGCAGCGGCUCGACAUCGAGACAGUUGUUAAACCUUCGGGGCCUAAAGAUGAGCCUGCGUCUGAUUAGCAGUUGGUGAGGUAAUGGCUCACCAAGGCUACGAUCAGUAGCUGG
RNAcentral lists this ribosomal RNA (260 nucleotides) under uncultured bacterium. RNAcentral describes it as "partial 16S ribosomal RNA". It matches the Rfam family "Bacterial small subunit ribosomal RNA", at positions 28 to 290 of the family's 1533-position model. The record is from RNAcentral.